This 383-nucleotide ribosomal RNA is filed under the name Aponuphis sp. NB-2017. RNAcentral describes it as "partial 16S ribosomal RNA". It matches the Rfam family "Bacterial large subunit ribosomal RNA", at positions 1935 to 2545 of the family's 2925-position model. The record is from RNAcentral. Lineage: Eukaryota; Metazoa; Annelida; Polychaeta; Eunicida; Onuphidae.
GGUAUCCUGACCGUGCAAAGGUAGCAUAAUCAUUUGCCUUUUAAUUAAAGGCUAGUAUGAACGGAAAACCGAAGACUUCCCUGUCUCUUUUAUAAACCUAUAAACUAACCUUCAGGUGAAGAGGCCUGAAUCUUAUUAAAAGACAAGAAGACCCUGUCGAGCUUAACUUUAUUACCCCAGGAUCUUAUUUUUACCUCAUUUACAAGUUUUGUUGGGGCGACAAAGGAGAAAACAAAACCUCCUUGAUUACAACAGACCAUCUGUCUUUCAUCAGACCCAUCAUAUGCUCUCCUGAAUUAGCUACCGCAGGGAUAACAGACUUAUUUUCCUCAAGAGCCCGUAUCUACAGGAAAGUUUGGCACCUCGAUGUUGGCUUAGGGUAU